Molecule: ribosomal RNA, 253 nt
Filed under: uncultured bacterium
Lineage: Bacteria
Description: partial 16S ribosomal RNA
Rfam family: Bacterial small subunit ribosomal RNA
Source: RNAcentral
UACGAAGGGGGCUAGCGUUGCUCGGAAUCACUGGGCGUAAAGGGUGCGUAGGCGGGUCUUUAAGUCAGGGGGGAAAUCCUGGAGCUCAACUCCAGAACUGCCUUUGAUACUGAAGAUCUUGAGUUCGAGAGAGGUGAGUGGAACUGCGAGUGUAGAGGUGAAAUUCGUAGAUAUUCGCAAGAACACCAGUGGCGAAGGCGGCUCACUGGCCCGAUACUGACGCUGAGGCACGAAAGCGUGGGGAGCAAACAGG